This 460-nucleotide ribosomal RNA is filed under the name uncultured Anoxybacillus sp. RNAcentral's name for it is "bacterial SSU rRNA". It matches the Rfam family "Bacterial small subunit ribosomal RNA", at positions 925 to 1382 of the family's 1533-position model. The record is from RNAcentral. Lineage: Bacteria; Bacillati; Bacillota; Bacilli; Caryophanales; Anoxybacillaceae.
ACAAGCGGUGGAGCAGUUGUGGUUUAAUUCGAAGCAACGCGAGAACCUUACCAGGUCUUGACAUCCCUGACAACCCGAGAGAUCGGGCGUUCCCCUUCGGGGGACAGGGUGACAGGUGGUGCAUGGUUGUCGUCAGCUCGUGUCGUGAGGAUGUUGGGUUAAGUCCCGCAACGAGCGCAACCCUCGACCUUAGUUGCCAGCAUUCAGUUGGGCACUCUAAGGUGACUGCCGGCUAAAAGUCGGAGGAAGGUGGGAUGACGUCAAGUCAUCAUGGCCUUUAUAUCCUGGGCUACACACACGCUACAAUGGGAAGGGACAAUAGGUUGCGAAGCCGCGAGGCGGAGCCAAUCCAGCAAAACUUCCCUCAGUUCAGAUUGCAGGCUGCAACCCGCCUGCAUGAAGUUGGAGUUGCUAGUAAACGCAGGUCAGCCAUACUGCGUUGAAUACGUUCCCGGGGCUU